GCCACCACCAUGUAAGAAGUGCCUUUCACCUCCUGCCGUGAUUCUGAGGCCUUCCCAGCCAUGUGGAACUGUUGCUGUUAAGUGCCAUUGAUAUGCUGAAUGAAGAAAAUGACAGAUUGAAGCUAACCAGCCACAAACUCAGGAAAGAUGUGACAGCCAGAAUGCCACUACGACAGGAUUUUUUUUUUUAGAUGGGCUCUCACUAUGUUGUCCAGGCUGGUGUUUAAUUCCUGGGCUCAAGUGAUCCUCCUGCCUCAGCCUCUGAAGCAGCUGGGACUACAGCCAUUUAGAGAAGCAAGUCUGCGACUCUCUAGCAAUCCUGGAUUUUAUGGAAAUUAUCUCUCCCAUCUCAGAGGGUUUCAAGGCCCAUAAACCUGCUCCUCCCACAGCUUGCUGUCUGCAGUUCGGGGGCGGAUGAACCACUCUGUGUCCCAGCCCACUCUCCGCUGUUGAGGAUCAGCGUCCCGGGAUCUUUGGUCUGCGCUCUCCUGCUAAGCCCAGGACGUUUCCUUCCCUUUUUCCCUGUGCCCCUGUUCCUUGGCCACAGGGUGGAGGUGAGCUCACGCCCCUGCCCCUCCGUUCCCUUCACCUCCAUUCUGGCAUGUUGCCCCCACUGUUCUCAGACUGGGGUGCUCGAGCAAUCUGCCCUCCUGUGUUUUGGGGGCUGUCCAGCUGUAACCCCUUCCCUGGGUUGGGCUGCUUUACACUUGGGCUCCCACCAGGGUCCAGGAAGGGGUGGGGGCUUGGGGGUGGAGACUAUGGACCCCACCUCCUCCUGGGAAUGGGCACCUGGAUGGCUGCUUUAUGGCCAUGUGAAAGCAGAGCAGGCAUCACUCAUUCCAUCCUCAUUCAUUCCUUCACUCACAACAAGUGCUGCAGAUACCCAAGAUGACUAAGAAAUGGCCCCUGCUUUCAAAAAGCUCAGUCUAGUCCCAUGAUGUCCUUAAUCACACCCCCUCAAAAAAGUCGUAUUAAGCAGUAGGUAAGGGGAAGUGACCUCUAAGAAGGAUCUAACAGUGGAAAUUACCUAUCUUAACGACACAGGUAAAUUCAACUUUGUAAAAGAGUUUAUGGAGUGAGAAAAAGCAUCAGAAUCAAGUAAGUUUGAGGGAUGAAGCCAAGUGUGCUUUUAGAAAAGUCUAUUCACAUUGCAAAGGUUUCUCUCCUUUCGACAGUGGCUCAUGCCUAUAAUCCCAGCACUUUGGGAGGCCAAGGUGGGAGGAUCACUUGAGUUCAAGAGUUCAAGACCAGCCUGGGCAACAUAGGGAGAACCUGUCUCCAUAAAAAGGUUUAAAAAUCAGCCAGGUGUGGUGGCAUGUGCUUGCAGUCCUAUUAGGGAGGCUGAGGUGAGAGAAUCACUUGAGCCCAGGAGUUCAAGGUUGCAGUGAGCUAUGAUGGUGUCACUGCACUCCAG
This 1414-nucleotide long non-coding RNA is filed under the name Homo sapiens (human). Its description in RNAcentral is "LHRI_LNC1168.1". Lineage: Eukaryota; Metazoa; Chordata; Mammalia; Primates; Hominidae. The record is from RNAcentral.